RNAcentral lists this long non-coding RNA (411 nucleotides) under Apteryx owenii (little spotted kiwi). RNAcentral describes it as "lncRNA (ENSAOWG00000013520.1)". The record is from RNAcentral. Lineage: Eukaryota; Metazoa; Chordata; Aves; Apterygiformes; Apterygidae.
AUGCAGAAAGGGUGCUGGCUUGCUUUUAUCACAUCAAAGCCUGAUAACAGCAAUUCUGUGCUUACCAACCUCCCUCAUGAGCGUAUACAGCAUCCACAGAUGCCUUUGAAGACUUCUGCUGAGGAUCAUGGACCAUGUCCUAGUUCUCUAAUCCUGCAAGGAGAUAACAGUCCCACAAUGGAGGAAAUGGGCAAAAGUGAUGGAAUCAGUGAGCUGAAACAUCUGCACAUCACCAGCAGCUGCCACUGCCCUCAAGGAAAUCUUCCAGAGAAGUCCUUUGAAGGCAAAUUGCUUACCCAAAAAAGCACUUGGAUAAGUGAAGGAUACAGGAGAGUAGAAGAGAGAUCCCAAGAUAUAUUAUGGCCUGCAGAGGACAGUGGUUAUUUACAAGUAUCUCUAGAGCAGCUGUAG